AUUGAACGCUGGCGGCAGGCCUAACACAUGCAAGUCGAGCGGGGUUUUUCGGACCUAGCGGCGGACGGGUGAGUAAUGCGUAGGAAGCUACCCGAUAGAGGGGGAUACCAGUUGGAAACGACUGUUAAUACCGCAUAAUGUCUACGGACCAAAGUGUGGGACCUUCGGGCCACAUGCUAUCGGAUGCGCCUACGUGGGAUUAGCUAGUUGGUGAGGUAAUGGCUCACCAAGGCGACGAUCUCUAGCUGGUUUGAGAGGAUGAUCAGCCACACUGGAACUGAGACACGGUCCAGACUCCUACGGGAGGCAGCAGUGAGGAAUAUUGGACAAUGGGCGCAAGCCUGAUCCAGCCAUGCCGCGUGCAGGAUGACGGUCCUAUGGAUUGUAAACUGCUUUUGUACAGGAAGAAACACUGGUUCGUGAACCAGCUUGACGGUACUGUAAGAAUAAGGAUCGGCUAACUCCGUGCCAGCAGCCGCGGUAAAG
This 486-nucleotide ribosomal RNA is filed under the name uncultured bacterium. RNAcentral's name for it is "bacterial SSU rRNA". It matches the Rfam family "Bacterial small subunit ribosomal RNA", at positions 30 to 525 of the family's 1533-position model. The record is from RNAcentral.